Aphanomyces cochlioides is the source of this 90-nucleotide non-coding RNA. The record is from the annotation of a GenBank genome assembly. NCBI's taxonomy places the organism in Eukaryota, Oomycota, Saprolegniomycetes, Saprolegniales, Verrucalvaceae.
GGGUUGUAGCUCAGAUGGUAGAGCGCCCGCUUCGCAUGCGGGAGCUCACUCACUGCGUCAUUGUUGGUUUUAACCCCAGUACUGACAAUU